AUUGACGACCGUACCGCAAACCGACACUGGUGCGCGUGAUGAGUAUUCUCAGGCGCUUGAGAGAACUCUGGAGAAGGAACUCGGCAAAUUGACACCGUAACUUCGGAAGAAGGUGUGCCUUUAGUAGGUGAAGCCCCCGCGGGCCGAGCCCAAUGAGGCCGCAGAGAAUCGGUGGCUGCGACUGUUUAUUAAAAACACAGCACUCUGCAAAGACGAAAGUCGACGUAUAGGGUGUGACGCCUGCCCGGUGCUGGAAGAUUAAAUGAUGGGGUGCAAGCUCUUGACUGAAGUCCCAGUAAACGGCGGCCGUAACAAUAACGGUCCUAAGGUAGCGAAAUUCCUUGUCGGGUAAGUUCCGACCUGCACGAAUGGCGUAACGAUGGCCACACUGUCUCCUCCUGAGACUCAGCGAAGUUGAAAUGUUUGUGAUGAUGCAAUCUACCCGCGGCUAGACGGAAAGACCCCAUGAACCUUUACUGUAGCUUUGCAUUGGACUUUGAAUCAAUCUGUGUAGGAUAGGUGGGAGGCUUUGAAGUAGGGACGCCAGUUCCUAUGGAGCCAUCCUUGAAAUACCACCCUGGUUCAUUUGAGGUUCUAACCUUGGUCCGUUAUCCGGAUCGGGGACAGUGCAUGGUAGGCAGUUUGACUGGGGCGGUCUCCUCCUAAAGUGUAACGGAGGAGUUCGAAGGUACGCUAGGUACGGUCGGACAUCGUGCUAAUAGUGCAAUGGCAUAAGCGUGCUUAACUGCGAGACCGACAAGUCGAGCAGGUACGAAAGUAGGACAUAGCGAUCCGGUGGUUCUGAUGGAAGGGCCAUCGCUCAACGGAUAAAAGGUACUCCGGGGAUAACAGGCUUGAUACCGCCCAAGAGUUCAUAUCGACGGGGGUGUUUGGCACCUCGAUGUCGGCUCAUCACAUCCUGGGGCUGAAGUAGGUCCCAAGGGUUUGGCUGUUCGCCAAUUAAAGUGGUACGCGAGCUGGGUUCAGAACGUCGUGAGACAGUUCGGUCCCUAUCUGCCGUGGGCGUUGGAAGAUUGAGAGGGGCUGCUCCUAGUACGAGAGGACCGGAGUGGACGCAUCACUGGUGUUCGGGUUGUCAUGCCAAUGGCAUUGCCCGGUAGCUAAA
This 1126-nucleotide ribosomal RNA is filed under the name Allium cepa (onion). Its description in RNAcentral is "bacterial LSU rRNA". It matches the Rfam family "Bacterial large subunit ribosomal RNA", at positions 1634 to 2753 of the family's 2925-position model. Lineage: Eukaryota; Viridiplantae; Streptophyta; Magnoliopsida; Asparagales; Amaryllidaceae. The record is from RNAcentral.